Molecule: ribosomal RNA, 814 nt
Filed under: Bradyrhizobium elkanii
Lineage: Bacteria; Pseudomonadati; Pseudomonadota; Alphaproteobacteria; Hyphomicrobiales; Nitrobacteraceae
Description: bacterial SSU rRNA
Rfam family: Bacterial small subunit ribosomal RNA
Source: RNAcentral
UUUUCCCGCGCUACCUACCGCAGUCGCAGUGGGAUGCAAUAUGUCAGCGGCAGACGGGUGAGUAACGCGGGGAAACGUACCUUUUGGUUCGGCACAACUGAGGGACACUUCGGCUAGUACCGGAUAAACCCCUACGGAGAAAGAUUUAUCGCCCAAAGAUCGGCCCGCCUCUGAUUAGCUAGUUGGGGAGGUAAUGACUCACCAAGGCGACCAUCAGUAGCUGGCCUGAGAGGAUGAUCUGCCACAUUGGGACUGACACACCGCCCAAACUCCUACGGAAGGCAGCACUGGGCAAUAUUGCACAAUGGGCGCCAGCCUGAUCCACCCAUGCCGCGUGAGUGAUGAAGGCCCUACGGUUGUAAAGCUCUUUUGUGCGUGAAGAUAAUGACCGUACCGCUAGAAUAAGCCCCGGCUAACUUCCUGCCAGCAGCCGCGGUAAUACCAAGGGAGCUAGCGAUGCUCGGAAUCACUGGGCGUAAAGGGUGCGUAGGCGGGUCUUUAAGUCCGGGGUGAAAUCCUGGAGCUCAACUCCAGAACUGCCUUUGAUACUGAACAUCUUGAGUUCCGGAGAGGUGAGUGCAACUGCCAGUGUACACCUGAAAUUCGUAGAUAUUCGCAAGAACACCAGUGGCGAAGGCGGCUCACUGGCCCCAUACUGACGCUGAUGCCCGAAAGCGUGGGGAGCAAACCGGAUUAUAUACCCUGCUAGUCCCCGCUGGAAACAAGGAAUGCCAGCCGUCUAUGAGUUUACUCUCUACUGGGGCAUCUUACGCAUUAAGCAUACUUUCUGGGGAAUACCGUCGCAAGAUUAAAA